ACGGGAUUUUGAGUCGCAAGAUUUGAUAUCCAGUGGCGGACGGGUGAGGAUAAGUAAGGAACGUACCCUGAAGUAUCGCAUAGCUCGUCGAAAGACGGGGUAAUACGGUAUGUGAACGAAAGUUUAAAGAGGUUAACCCCUCGCUUUAGGAGCGGCCUUAUACCUAUCAGCUAGUUGGUGGGGUAACGGCCUACCAAGGCUACGACGGGUAGGGGGUGUGAGAGCAUGACCCCCCACAAUGGCACUGAGACACGGGCCAUACAUCUACGGAUGGCAGCAACUGGGAAUAUUCGGCAAUGGACGAAAGUCUGACCGAGCGACGCCGCGUGAGGGAUGAAGGUUUUCGGAUCGUAAACCUCUUUUGCCAUGAUCGACAGGUUAUGGCGAAUAAGCACCUACAAACUACGUGCCAGCAGUCGCGGUAAUACGUAGGGUGCAAGCGUUAUCCGGAUUUACUGGGUGUAAAGUGUCGUGUAGGCGGUAUACCGCAUCGUAUCUGAAAGCCCGAGGCUUAACCUCGGCGUUGGAUACGAGAUGGGUAAACUAUGAGGGAGGCAGAGGAAAGGGGAACUCGUGGUGAAGCAGUGAAAUGCGUUGAUAUCACGAGGAACACCGAAGGCGAAGGCACCUUUCUGGGCCUCUCCUGACGCUGAGACACGAAAGCUAGGGGAGCGAAGCAGAUUAGAGACCUGCGUAGUCCUAGCCCUAAACGCAUGUCUGCUAGAUGCCCCGUCGCAAGAUGGGGUGUCGUAAGCUAACGCGUUAAGC
This 768-nucleotide ribosomal RNA is filed under the name uncultured bacterium. RNAcentral's name for it is "bacterial SSU rRNA". It matches the Rfam family "Bacterial small subunit ribosomal RNA", at positions 66 to 865 of the family's 1533-position model. The record is from RNAcentral.